Molecule: ribosomal RNA, 505 nt
Filed under: uncultured bacterium
Lineage: Bacteria
Description: bacterial SSU rRNA
Rfam family: Bacterial small subunit ribosomal RNA
Source: RNAcentral
CAAAACUAGACUACUAGAGGACAGGAGAGGGAGGCGGAACUCCUAGUGUAGCGGUGGAAUGCUCAGAUACUAGGAAGAACACCAGUGGCGAAGGCGGCCUCCUGGCCUGCACCUGACGCUGAGAGGCGAAAGCUAGGGUAGCAAACGGGCUUAGAUACCCCGGUAGUCCUAGCUGUAAACGGUGGAUACUAGGUAUUGGGGACGAUAUGUUUUCAGUGCCGAAGCCAACGCGUUAAGUAUCCCGCCUGGGGACUACGGCCGCAAGGUUAAAACUCAAAGGAAUUGACGGGAGCCCGCACAAGCAGCGGAGCGUGUGGUUUAAUUCGAAGCAACACGAAGAACCUUACCUGGGCUUGACAUGUAUGUAGUAGGGAACCGAAAGGGGACCGACCCUUCGGGGAGCAUACACAGGUGCUGCAUGGCUGUCGUCAGCUCGUGUCGUGAGAUGUCGGGUUAAGUCCCGCAACGAGCGCAACCCCUGUUGCUAGUUACAUGUUCUAGCGAG